Molecule: ribosomal RNA, 255 nt
Filed under: uncultured bacterium
Lineage: Bacteria
Description: partial 16S ribosomal RNA
Rfam family: Bacterial small subunit ribosomal RNA
Source: RNAcentral
UACGUAGGGGGCAAGCGUUGUCCGGAAUCAUUGGGCGUAAAGCGCGUGUAGGCGGUUCGGUAAGUCUGCUGUGAAAGUCCAGGGCUCAACCCUGGGAUGCCGGUGGAUACUGUCGGACUAGAGUACGGAAGAGGCGAGUGGAAUUCCCGGUGUAGCGGUGAAAUGCGCAGAUAUCGGGAGGAACACCAAUUGCGAAGGCAGCUCGCUGGGACGUUACUGACGCUGAGACGCGAAAGCGUGGGGGAGCAAACAGGG